RNAcentral lists this ribosomal RNA (425 nucleotides) under uncultured bacterium. RNAcentral's name for it is "bacterial SSU rRNA". It matches the Rfam family "Bacterial small subunit ribosomal RNA", at positions 9 to 450 of the family's 1533-position model. The record is from RNAcentral.
GAGUUUGAUCGUGGCUCAGGAUGAAUGCUGGCGGCGUGCCUAACACAUGCAAGUCGAGCGGUAAGGCCCCUUCGGGGUACACGAGCGGCGGACGGCUGAGUAACGCGUGGGAACAUACCCCAAAGUGAGGGAUAAGCUCCAGAAAUGGAGUCUAAUACCGCAUAUGAUCUUCGGAUUAAAGGAUUUAUCCGCUUUGGGAAUGGCCUGCGUACGAUUAGAUAGUUGGUGAGGUAAUGGCUUACCAAGUCUACGAUCGUUAGCUGGUCUGAGAGGAUGACCAGCCAGACUGGAACUGAGACACGGUCCAGACUCCUACGGGAGGCAGCAGUGAGGAAUAUUCCACAAUGGGGGAAACCCUGAUGGGAGCAACGCCGCGUGCAGGAUGAAGGCCUUCGGGUCGUAAACUGCUUUUAUGAGUGAAGAAU